RNAcentral lists this ribosomal RNA (120 nucleotides) under Paramormyrops kingsleyae. Lineage: Eukaryota; Metazoa; Chordata; Actinopteri; Osteoglossiformes; Mormyridae. The record is from RNAcentral.
GCUGAAGGCCACACCACCUUGAAUAUGCCCGAGCUCAUGCAGUCUCGGAAGCCAAGGAAGGCUGGACCUUGCAGGCACAUGGACGGGAGGCCACCUAGGAAUACCAGGUCUUGUUUUGCG